This 756-nucleotide long non-coding RNA is filed under the name Brachypodium distachyon (stiff brome). RNAcentral's name for it is "long non-coding RNA (BDIS_LNC000489)". Lineage: Eukaryota; Viridiplantae; Streptophyta; Magnoliopsida; Poales; Poaceae. The record is from RNAcentral.
GAAAAAGUCCUAGGAUAAACGGGAAGCAUUCUCAAGACUAUCAUUUCCGGGGUGAAAACUGAAUUCCGACAGUGAGGGACCCUAAGGUCAAAAGAAGGUUCAUUUCCUUGCUUUUGAAAAAUGGUACUUCCUAAAUUUUUAUCGUGGUUUUAGUUCAAAUUUGUAUCAAAAUUACGACAAAAAUUUAGAAUCGGAGGAAUUGUACGGAGUAGUGGAUUUUAUGCAGGAUUUCUUUUGUCAACCUUGAGUUGGAUCCAUUUGAGAGCUCUGUGAACUCGGGUCACAAACUAACAAUUCUUGCAUCUCUGUUCUGUUCACGCACUUGUACUGUUUUACAUCCAUUCAUUCAGACGUCCAUGCAUACAAUCCAAGUAAAUUUUCUUAUCUUACUCGCUCCGAUUCAUAAAAAAUGUCGCCCAUUUUGUAUGAAGUACAAAUUUGGUGUCAAGUGGACGACACUUUUUAUGAAUCGGAGCGAAUACUUAUUACUGAUCAUUGGCUUCUUGCACACUGAUCUAUCAGAUUUUAGGUACGUGGGUGCAUGUCAUUGUACUACAUCAGUACUUUGGUGAUCUUGCUGCAGAAGUUACACCGAUGCAUGAUCAAACUAUCUCCAUCUCCGAAGCAAGGUGUGGAGACAUGACUGAACAACAAGAGGCGCUGUCGAACAAAUGGAAGGCAGCAGUGUAUAAUAGUGUCACAUGCCAACAGAAAACCAGCAAAUCAACACUUGGACUGCCGCCUACUUAGUUUAUA